GUUCCAAGUGCCAAGAGUGGUUAUCGGCCGGUCUGCAAAACCGUGCACGGCGGUUCGAAUCCGCCCUGGAACU
Non-coding RNA from Bradyrhizobium sp. NAS80.1, 73 nucleotides. Lineage: Bacteria; Pseudomonadati; Pseudomonadota; Alphaproteobacteria; Hyphomicrobiales; Nitrobacteraceae. The record is from Rfam.